CUCUUUGAACUUGUGUUGCUGAGUAGGAAAUUGAAGGAUGUCCCAUUACUGCCCUCCUUGGAUUAUGAGAAACUGAAGAAGGAUUUGAUUUUGGGGAGUGACCGCUUGAAAGCCUUCUUGUUGCAGGCUCUGCGCUGGCGCUUGACCACAUCCCAUCCUGGAGAGCAGAGGGAGACCGUUCUGCAAGCCUACAUCAGCAAUGACCUCUUGGACUGUUAUAGCCACAACCAGGUCGCCUCUACCUUGCCCAGAACACAAAGGUGCUGCAGAUGCUGGAGGGAAGGCUGAAGGAGGAGGACAAGGAUAUCAUCACCAGGGAGAAUGUUCUUGGGGCCCUGCAGAAGUUCAGUCUCAGGCGCCCGCUGCAGACAGCGAUGAUUCAAGACGGCCUCAUCUUCUGGCUGGUUGAUGUUCUGAAGGACCCUGACUGCCUGUCUGACUACACGCUGGAGUACUCGGUGGCUUUGCUCAUGAACCUCUGCCUCCGCAGCACAGGGAAGAACAUGUGUGCCAAGGUGGCAGGCCUCGUGCUCAAAGUCCU
Molecule: long non-coding RNA, 541 nt
Filed under: Homo sapiens (human)
Lineage: Eukaryota; Metazoa; Chordata; Mammalia; Primates; Hominidae
Description: long non-coding RNA NONHSAT077344.2
Source: RNAcentral